Molecule: long non-coding RNA, 15368 nt
Filed under: Selaginella moellendorffii
Lineage: Eukaryota; Viridiplantae; Streptophyta; Lycopodiopsida; Selaginellales; Selaginellaceae
Description: long non-coding RNA (SMOE_LNC000610)
Source: RNAcentral
AAUCUAAUGGAGUUCUUUUGGUAUGAGAGGUCAUGGAAUUUAUUGACAAUUGGAAGAAUCAUCGAUGAAUGGGAGCCUUUUCGUUUCUAUCGCUAGUAUCUAGUGCCAGGGAUGGAUCUUGCUGCUUGCCCCUUGGCUGUGCGCUCCUGGUGGAAUUGCUCGUGAUCUGGCGAAUUCGCGGAGGAGGAAGGCGAGUCGUGAUGGAAGUGAUGGACUCGAGCCUCGUAGAUCGCUGCAGUGGCCGUGGCAGCCGCCAUAGUUGCCAUAGAUUUGAAGUAAGCCAUAGAUCCUGUAAUCUAUAGCAUAGAAUUGACGCGAAUUGGAGGAGAGGGUCUGGAUGCUAGCGCUACUAGUUACCGGAUUGAUCGAUCGAUCGAUCGAAUGAGGGAGCGGAGGUGGGAGGGGAUGAGAUCGCAGAGCACAGGCUGUGCCACCAGACGAGGAAUGGUACUUUUAUUGCGUCAAUCGAAAGCGAGAACACACGCCUGGCGGCGAAUCUAUGCAAGCCACGUGUCUUUGCGCGUACGUGGCGAGAUUCCAGUCCCCUUGACGCGCCAGUUUUUUCUAGAAAUUCCUUCUCCAAAAGCGUCUUGAUUGGAUUUUUCCCUAUCAAACUUCUCGAGGAUUUGAUUGAGAGUGAUCAGCAUCAAUUGGAUUGGAUCAUCCAGGAACCUCUUGUGAGUUUCUGCUCUAUGCUGGUUUUAUCCCUGGAUUGAGAUAGUUAAUCCUUACCUCAAAACCAAAUUUUAAGAAUGGUUGUACAAGUGAUUGGUGUGUGGCUUGCUGCUUGGAUCAUUUCUGGGGGAUUUUGCUUUGUAAGCGAAUUCAAUAUAACCAAUAGUCAUGUAGAACAGUGUGUCCCUGGAAAGAGUGAAAUUUCUUAGUUUUGAAGUGUGGCGGGACUAGAUUCUUAGAUGCUGGCAAAAAAUUCUCUCCAUAAUUUAUAUGGAUCUAUGCUUAGAUCUUAUGUAAAUUCAGUACUAGCAAACAUAAUAUGCGAUUCCCACUGGCAAAGGUUUUGUACCGGUGUGAUAUCACGGUUUGAAGAAUCUUUACUGAUCGUGAUCGCGUCAACUUUCUCAAAUUGAGACAUGCAUGUUUGAAUUUUACAAAUGGAAAUCCGGACACAUAAACACUCUCUCGUAUUCCUUGUGUCCUUGAAUUGGAAUCAUGAACAUGAUAGCGUUCCUCAUUAAAUAUAAUUCCAGGCUGCGAAUCCCCGGGAGACGGCUUAAUCAGAAUUUCACGAGUAAUGUCGGUGGAAAGCAUGAUUAUCCAUCUGAGCUGGAAACAAGCAUGAUCCACGUACUUAUCGUGAUGGAGCUGGUUUUGUGACUACCUACCUGUAGUCGUCGCCACAAUCACCAGCGAUCGAGUGGAGGAUCCCUGCAAAUCGGAACCCCCCCCCCCCCUGCAAGUUGUGCUCGCCAAUGCUCUCAGCGCCGAUGAUCACGCUGGCAACUCCUGGCUUGACCGCACGGAAACUGUACUUCGUGCCUAUCGCUUUGCAAACUCCUGAUCACGAGAGCUCGAACGCAAUGGUGGUGUAGGUCAAGACACUAAUCUCCGAAUCGAUGAUUGUUUCUACAACUCUCAAGGCACUAGCCAAGAUUGCAUGGACAGAUAUGGUUUUGUCUCAUAGAGAGCAAUGUAUGGUCAAGAGGUUUUAUUGGAUGGAAUAAAAAAGUGUAGCAAUCUAUCUGCAGCUUGUAAGCUUCACAAUGAGAUCAAGCACCUCCUUGCGGCAGGAGAUUGUUUGGCAUCCAAUUUUCUGGUGCAAAUGUAUGGGAGGUGUGGAUGCCCUGAGGCGGCAUGGCAAGUAUCUAGAUCGAGGAGUGGAAUGCCAUGCCACAUCAAACAGCCAUCUUGACCAAGCAAAGCAGUUAUUUGAUCGAAUGGGAGCUUGCUUCAUGGUCGAUCAUGAUCACUGCGUUCUCUCGGCAUGGCUUACUCCUGUUUUUUAUUCCUCCUAUUAUUUAUUUUAUUUUAUUUAGAGAGAGAGAGAGAGAGAGGCCGGAAUGCAAUGAUAGUCUGCCACAAACGGGCAUUUGGAUAAAGAAAUGCAUCUUUGAGCUUAUGCCGGAAAGGAGCUAAUCUCUUAGACCACAAUUCUAUCAAAGACCACCAACAUAUGCCAAUUAAGGACUCUGUUUAUGUCGAGAGAUCUUGUUUCUUGGAAAUUGCUCCUCUGUCGUUCACGCCCAGUGCUUUGGCCACCCUCAUAAGGAUUUGGUUGCGUCCACUGCUUUGCUUGUUAUCUUGGCGGAAAGUGGCUGCUUCACGAGUCCAUGGAGUGUUGUCUUGUGCUGUGCUUACGCAUAUCAUGACGACAGUAGGCUGAGCAGAAUUUUUACAGCAUACAGCGUUUGCUUGCACUGCAAUGCUGCGCUUGUAUUCUCAAGAACGGACUCAGCCAUAUAUUUAGGUCUGCCUGAUCAAGGCGAGCAUUUAGUCCGAAAGAAUCUCUUUGAUGCGAGACGAGACCGCCAUACCAUCGAAACAAUGCCGAUCACAGCGUGAUACCAGAUUGUGCCCGAAAUGGACGUAUGCUUUUUGCGAAGAGAAUCUUUGACAACUCCAAUGUUUUUGAAUAUUUUUGUUCAUCGAUAAGAAUAUUUAUCUACUUCAUCACCGAAUCCUAUGUGGACUACAUGGCAAAGAAUUUCGUCUCCAUAAAGGUUGAUUGGAUUUUCCCUUUCUCAGCACUUCAAAAAACUAAUUUUUAGAAUGGGUGUGCGAUUGAUAGUUUCCAUUGUUGCGCUUGCGGCUUUGAUCAUUCCUAAAACAUUUGGGUGUGGGGAUUUCUCACUUACUUGUAAUAUAGUUGAAUUCAACUUAACCACUAUUCAUUUAGAAUGGUGUCUCCCUGGAAAAUCUGAGAUUUAUUUGGUCUUGGACAAUCACAUCCACAAUGAUAAUGGGAAUUUAAAGUGUGGCGGGGCAAAUUUCUUAGAGACAUGCACGCCCACAGGUUGCAUGCACAACAAUGAAAACAUCCCAAAGUUGGUCUACUAUGCGACGUGCAAAGACAACAGUGGUGCGGAUCAUGAAACUAAUCUCCGAAUUGAUGAUUGUGUCUACAACAACCAAGGAACCAUCCAAGAUUGUGCAUGAUUAUAUGGUUUUUUCUUACAGAGAACCAUGUUAGCACCAGAUUGUCGAGAGCUUUUGUUGGAUGCAAUAAAGAAGUGUACCAAUCUGUCCACAGCUUCCAAGCUCCACAAUGAGAUUGAGCACCUCCUCGUGGCAGAAGACUGCUUGGCAUGCAAUUUGGUGGUGCAAAUGUAUGGGAGGUGUGGAUGCCCAGAGGCAGCAUGGCAAAUCUUUCGUGGCUCUACAUCACGGAAUCGAUUCUCGUGGAAUGCUAUGCUCUCUGCCUUCGCAUCAAACAGCUAUCUUGACCAAGCAAAGCAGUUGUUUGAUCGGAUGCCCGAAUGGGAUGUUGCUUCAUGGUCGAUCAUGAUCACUGCCUUCUCUCGGCAUGGCUUACUCCUACAGGCAAAAGAAGUUUUCGAUUCCAUGAGAGAGAGAGGCCUUAUAGCAUGGAACGCAAUGAUCUUAGCAUAUGCCAGAAACGGGCAUUUGGAUAAAGCAAUGCAGCUCUUUGAGCUUAUGCCAGAAAGGAGCUUAAUUUCUUGGACUACAAUUAUAUCCAAAUCCACCAGCUUGUUUCAAAUAACGACACUCUUCAGCUCCAUGCCUGAGAGAGAUCUUGUUGCUUGGAACUCUCAACUAUCAGCACUUGCCCAAGCUGGGCAUUUGCAGGAGGCGAAGCACAUCUUCUCCAACAUGCCAGAAUUUGAUGCUCUGUCUUUUACGUCCAUGAUUCAGUGCUUUGGCCAGCACGGCCUUUUGGAAGAUGCCAAGUAUUUCUUCCUCGCGCUGCCUCACAAGGAUUUGGUUGCCUGCACGGUUUUGCUUGUCGUCUUGGUGGAAAGUGGCUGCUUUCACGAGGCAAAGAAUCUGUUCGAGUCGAUGGAGUGUAUAGAUGUGGUUUCAUGCGCGGUAAUCCUGUCCGCUUACGCAGAUCACGACGACAGCAGCAUCGCGGAGGCUGAGCAAAUUUUUUACAACAUGCAGCGCCAGAACGCGUUUGCUUGCACUGCAAUGCUGCGCUUGUAUUCUCGGCGAGGACGGACUCACGACGCCGAAGCCAUAUAUUUAGGUCUGCCUGUUCAAGGCGAGCAUUUAGUCCCGUCAACCGCUCUCAUUACAGCAUAUGCUAGCAACGGGCAUCUGGAAAAGGCAAAGAAACUCUUUGAUGGAAUGAGGGAGCGAAACGAGGUUACCUGGACUGCCAUGCUGACAGGAUAUGUAAACAACCACAGGCUAGAGGACGCCCUGUGUAUUUUUGAAAAAAUGCCGGGUCACGACGAAAUACUACUGAUUGUGCUCGUGUCGGCAUAUGCCCGAAGUGGACAUAUGCUUCUUGCCAAGAGAAUUUUUGACAACUCCAAUGAAAAGAGCGCUAUUGCUUUCAAUGCUCUCUUGUGUGGUUUUUCAUUAAAUUCUCAGGUACUGGAAGCCAAAAGUGUGUUCGAUUCAAUCCAAGAAAGAAACCAAUCUUCAUGGAGUGCAAUUCUUUCUACAUAUACCCAAAACGGGCAUCUGGAUAUGGCAAAUCGGAUAUUCUUAACAAUACCGGACAAGGAUCUCAUAUCUUGGGACACAAUGCUGGCGGCAUACUCUCGGAUUGGGGCCAUUUCCAGAGCCUUGGAUGCCUUGCAAACCAUGGUCACUACUAAUACACCUGAUGAAGCUAGCUUAACAGCUUUGCUCACGUCGUGUGCUCACAAAGGCACUGCUGCCAUAGCUCGGGAUCUCUUUGUGUCUUUCCAGUUUGAUCACUCCAUCAAACCCUCAAAGCAACACUACUCGUGUAUGAUUGGUGUGCUUGUCCGGUCAGGGUAUAUCCAAGACGCUGAGAAUCUUCUGUGGGAGAUGCCAUACUACCCGGAUUCCAUGGAUUGGAAGUGCUUGCUUGGAGCUGUAGCGAGUGGAGAUGCAAUGAAAAAUGCCAUUAGUGUGGAGCCUAGUAACAGUGCUCCAUAUGUUCUUAUUGCCAAUUCUCACAUAGUUACAUAGAUUAGAUAUUUACAAGAGAUUAUAUCAAAUUACAAAUUUUCUUAGAAGGUGGCAUGGUUUUGGAUGGCUAUUUGAUCAGCAUUUCUAAAGAUCCCAUGGAAUCCACCAGCAGGCAGCUCUUCAGAAGCCACUAUCUCAAGCGUGGGCGAUUUGGCAUCCAUGGCCAAAAGCUCCGAGACACCAUUUUUCUCAUCAUGGACGUAGCUUAGGAUGACGUAUCCAUCGUCUUCUUCCUCGCCAUUCGCCACAAAGAAAGCCUCGCCACAAAACUUACCACAUUCGAAUCUCCUCGAUGCCAUAACGCAUGGCUCGUUUAGAUCCGGGUCACUUGUUCCAUCGAUUACCGCCCUGGGCAGCUGUGGAGUGUCCAGAUCGACCUUGGCCAGGCCCGAGAUUUUGGGGCAUGGCCCAUAGUAGCACAUGUAUAUGUACUGAUUCUUCCGCCCCAGGAAUUUCUGAUUCAUCUGUCCAAAAUCCAGUCCAGCCGAGCACACGUGUUGCUUCCACGACUGUCCAGAUUGAGCAUGAACCUUGACCGCACUCUGACCGCGUUGACUGCAACCUGCCGGCCUGAAGUCGUCGCUGAAGCCGAUGUUCCUCAGGUCCCGGGUCCAGACGAGCUGGGAUGUGUUCGUUGUCCGAUUUGGGUGUGUUCACUGGAAGGACACGGAGCUGCUCGAGCACACCAACCUCUGUGCGAUCCACCCGAUGAGUUGGGUACGUAUGCGUAGCUGGGCUAUGUUCGUUGUUUGAUUUGCCUGUGCUUAAUGUCUCAUGUGGUUGAUUAUAACAAUCUUGUCCAUCCCUUCCUCCCACGUGUUGAUGUAGUGGAAUGAUGUCCAAUCUGGGACGUCAAUCCAGCAAAUGCCGGAAGAUCCAACAGUCGGGAUGCAAGGGAUCACCCCGAAUCUGGGAACCUUGGCGGUAUCUCCAUCAAUGACCAGUUUGUUCUUGAGCACUACAUCCUGGAACUUCAUCACGAGCUGAUUCUCUGGAAGGAUUGUGUAGUUCUCUGUUAUCGUGAAGUCGUGAAACAAGCACGGCAGCCACACGUCGAAAUCGGGGCUCUUCCUCCCAGAAGUAGCAGAGGUGGGGAUUGAUCACUGGAUUGAAGCUAACAGCGAAGAGCUCGCUGGAGAUUGGAUCGAUCUUUGGAUGAGCGCACAUCAGCAAGAACAAUCGCUUGUUGAAGCUGUAGCGGCCCAUGGUGAUCAAAUCCCCUGCUGGGGUGAUACUCACGGCAUAUGGCAUAUCAUCCUCGGACAUAGCCAGAAUUCGGCAAAACCUCCAACGCUGGGAUGGCCUACUUCGAUCCCAUCCCGCCAAAGAUAUUGAUCAGGCCCAGACAUUGCGACCAAAUUAACUGUGCAAUUGGCAUACCUAAAUAUAUUGAUCCCUGCAAUCGAAUUUUAGAGCUCUUGAGCCAUACGCAUAGAUAAGAUCAAUAUUUUAGGGCUUACUCUGUCUUGAAUGGAAACAAUGCGCGUGAGACAAAUAAUUGUGUGUCGGCAUGCUUCUUGGAGGGGAUGAAAAGGGUAAGGUCCCAUGCUUCCUAGACGGGCACGAGUGGACCAAAAACAAAGCUAGAUAUAUUCAAUCUUGAUUCAUGUCUCCUAACAUGAAAUAUCCUCUCUGCUUUAGAAUAAUGUAAUUUUAGGUGGUCAUGCGUUCGCAAGCGAGGUUUUGCUGGAUGGAAUAAAGAACCAUAUCCAAUUUACCCACAUCCAUCCACAAUGAGAUCAAGCACCUCCUCAGCGGCGGGAGAUUGUUUGGCGUUCAAUUUGGUGGUGCAAUGUAUAUGAGGCGUGGAUGCCCAUAGGUGGCAUGGCAAGUCUUUUGCGGCUCUAGAUCCAGGAAAUGAUGCUGGUUGAUUGAAUGCCCGAGUGGGACGAGCAUGACCACUGCCUUCUCUCGGUAUGGAUUCCUCCAACAAGCAGUUAUGCCACUAACAGGCAUUUGGAUAAAGCAACGAGCUAAUGCCAGAAAGGAGCUUAAUCUCCUAGAGCACGAUUAUGUAAGGAUAUGGUCUUGUUUCUUGCCCUGGUUUGCUCUUAUUACAGCUGGAAAAGUUAAAGCAUUGAAUGUGUGAAACGACAAUGUGAACUGCCAUGCUGACAGCAUGUAAAGAACCAAAGGUUAGAGGGAGCGCUGUGAAUGUUGAAAAAAGGCCGGAUCACGUUUUGCUAAGAGAACAUUUGGAUGCGAAUUUUAGCUUGCUUGAUGUGCAUUAUAGCAUUUUUUUUCUCUUUCUGAGCAGAAUUAAGAUAGUUCUACUGCGAUUUGACUAGCGAAGAAUUGGCAGCGUGGAACUUUUGCUGUUGUUCAUCAUUUUCCUGUCUUUAUUCUCUUAAAUUUUGGUGUUCGUGACGAUUUUUGUCCCUGCUAAAGGAUAAAACUUUCUGAAGAUUCUUCCAUAGCAGUUUCACGUUAGCAGAGAGAACAUUAGGUAUAAACCAUGAAAUGUUUCAUCCAGAUACAAAAUAUUUGUUGAAGUCUGUGUCAAUUGUUGGUUGAGAGUAUGGACAAGCUUCAGCCCCUGUUAAACACUAAGUUUUCAAGCCUGUUAAUCUCUUUGCGUUAUGUUGUUAUUUUCUCAGUGACAAUUAGUACAGACCUCUUUGGAUAUAUGGACCAAGCAUAGGAUGCGGAAAGCUCCAAGACCAUGUGUUGAAGAGCCAGGCUGCUCCAGCUGACGUGGCAGUGAGAUAAUUGGGUUCUAGGCAAUGGUCUAAAUCCAAGUAGCAAUUCGCAAAAAUUCACAAAAACAAAAGAAGAAAAUCCUACUAACAAUGGUUAUCAAGAAUUCCAGGCUGUCUAUCCAUUCUAAUAAACAAAGGCACUGUGAGGGCUAGUGUACGGCUACAAUGUCAUAUACUAAUAUUGGUGUAGUGGGAUUUUGGUAGCCAUCGGAUUGGUUUCAAUCCAGACCACUCGCUUUUGUAUAUAAGCUAGAGUUCUUGGGCUAAUUAAUAUGCACAUUUCUGUAUUCCCUUUCCAUAUUCCAUGCACUCACAUUGGUGAAGGUGAGGGGCAUCGAUUCCCUUACCUAUCGUAAGCAAAGCAAUAGGUAAGGGGAUUGAUGAUUGAUCGGUUUGGGUCUAAGGACACAAUUUAUCUUGGGUACUGUAUUUCUCGUGAGGGUUUAUAAGUUGAUUUUGACAAACUUGUAAAUGUUCUAAAGUUCCUUACUUCGAAAUGUGUGAAUGAUAUGCAACGCUUUCUGAGCAAGGUGCAGUAUCUCGGUUGUUUUGUGGAUCAUCUUUCUGAUCGCAUUGCAUUGUUGCGAGCAUUGCUGAAGUCGUCAAUGUCAUUUUUCAUCUGGUCUUCAGAUUGUGAGCGGGCGUUUGUGGAUCUCAAAGUGCUGUUAACGACUCCUCCAGUUUUGGCAUAUCCUGACUACAGUCGACCUUUUAUUUUGCGCGUCGAUGCUUCUGAUAUUGGUCUUGGAGGUGUAUUAAUGCAAGAAAGUUCGAGUGUGCCUGGUCAGCGUCAUUCUAUUGCAUAUAUAAGCUGUACAUUACAACCAGCAGAGGUGAACUACUCCACGAUAGAGAAGGAGUGUUUAGCGGCAGUUUGGGGUUUCGAGAAACUUCAUGCAUAUCUACAUGGUUCUCGGACGUUACUUGAAGGUAAUCAUGUUGCCGUUCAUUAUUGAAGUGGAAGAACUUGGUUGGUUAUACUGUUUGGUGGGCUUUGAAGCUUUAGAUAUAUGAUUUUGAUGUUGUUUAUCGCUUAAGGAGUUCUAUGGCUGAUGUUGAUGCCCUUUUUGAGCUCUUCUUCCUUCUCCACUCUCUUUUCAUGUUUUUGAUAAGCUUGUUGUUUCAGCAUCUGUGGAUUUUCUAGACGAGGAUUUUGUGCCAUCGGCGGUUGAUAUACUUAACGUUCAGUGUCCUUAAGGCACAAAGCAAAAUCUACCUUCUCUUGAUGAGGUUCGCGAGGCUCAAAAGAUUGAGCCGUGGAUUCAAAGGCUUUGAAAUGCAUUUGAGAAUCCUGCAUCACUUGCUAAUGACUUGCCUUUCCAGCAUUUACAUUCUCAAUAUCAUCUUGAAGAUGGCCUUCUUUAUUUUGUGGGGAUGGAUCCUGAUGAUCAUUUACGGCUGGUGGUGCCUUCUAUCUUUAUUCUGCGGUUUUUCCAUGCCUACCAUGAUUCUCCUGUUAUAGGUGGGCAUAUGGGACAUCGUUGGGUGACUGAGAAGUUACGCAAGACUUUCUAUUGGCCAAAGAUGCGCCGUGAUGUUAUCCGGUAUGUGUGUAGUUGUGUUUGGUGCCAAGCUCGUAAUACUCCCCCUUGUACUGCGGAAGGAUGGUUUGAGUCAAUUGCAGUUAUGUAGCGCAUCUUAUCUCUCUCCCCUUAAACCAACUGGAAAAUGGGCAAUUGCUUGAUGAGAGAGCCCUUAGUGGCUAUUUUAUCCCCAUUUAUCCCCCAACUCCCCCUUGUACUGCGGAAGGACGGUUGGAGUCAAUUGCAGUUUUGUAGCGCACCUUAUCUCUCUCCCCUUAAGCUAAUUGGAAAAGGGGCAAUUGCUUGAUGAGAGAGCCCUUAGUGGCUAUUUUAUCCCCAUUUAUCUCCCAAGGUUCCAAGGAUCCACGGUGACAAUAUAUCCAAAUCUCAUCCCAUGAUCACAUGCGCUACACUCACCCCCCUUUCAGAGAUGUCAAUGUCCUCAUUGACUAUUGACUAACAACCCCUACUGAGCCAAGGGGAACCAGCACCUCCAUUUCCGCACUCAAUCUACCAGCUAUUCCAUGUGAGGCAACUAGUCAUCCACCCGUACCGCAGUCCCACGGUGGAUACCUUCGUCCGUGGAUACACCACACAAGAGGAAGGACGUACGCAUGGAUGCCCAAUACGUACGAUUUCAAAUUUAGGGGUAGGAAUAUACCUUGCUCAAGGGUAUAUUAUACUUUUAAGUAAUCACUAAUCAAUGGGAAUCGAACCCGUGCCAUUUGCUUCGAUACCAACUGUAGCGCACCUUAUCUCUCUCCCUUUAAGCCAACUGGAAAAGGGGCAAUUGCUUGAUGAGAGAGCCCUUAGUGGCUAUUUUAUCCCCAUUUAUCCCCCAAGGUUCCAAGGAUCCACAGUGACAAUAUAUCCAAAUCUCAUCCCAUGAUCACAUACGCUACAAGUUUCCCGUCCAUUUGAGUUGGUGGCAUUUGAUCUCAUAGGACCUUUUCCACGGUUGAUUGCUGACAAUGAGUAUGUUAUUAUUGCUUCUGACUACUUGACUCGUUGGGUGGAAGUUGGUGCUCUUGCUAGUGCUUUUGCAACUGAUGUUGGAUACUUCCUCCUCAAUCGAGUGGUGUUCCAGCAUUCUUGUCCAGAGCAAAUUCUUUUGGAUAAUGGUCUUGCAUUUAUGGUUGAGGCAUUUCAUAUUUUGACAUCUCAGUUGGGGAUACGCUACACUUUCACGAGUGUUUAUCAUCCACAAUCAGACAAUCUGGUGGAAUGGCUCGUUCGGAUAUUCAAAGGGAUGAUAGUGAAGUAUAUGAACUUUUAGCAUUCGGAUUGGGAUGGUUAUUUGCCGUCUCUUUGGUAUGCCUAUGUCAUAGGGGUGUAGAGUUCUAUUAGUGCUUCACCAUACAAACUUAUAUAUGGUCAUGAUCCAAUAUUACCAAUGGAGCUAGGUUUACCUUUGCGAUUGCCACAAGCUCCUGAUGCUAGGUCGUGGGAUCAAUAUUUGAUGAGCAUUCUUCCACUUGUCUAAGCAGAGUUUGCCGAACACUUAGGCCGCGUACAAGUGGGACAAUAACGGUGCUACAACUCCCAUCAUCAUCCACCAGCAGAGUACAAAGUGGAUGAUUUAGUGUUAGUCCGUUUUCCCCAUAUUACGGUACAUUGUUUAUCUAAGGGGCUCUUUGCACAAUGGAAAGGACCGUAUCGGGUGUUACAGCAAGUUGGACUGCAAGUUUAUGAACUUUGGCAUGACGUUCAACAGGCUGAUCCUCUGAAGAUUGUGCAUGUGCAGCGGUUAAAACGCUUCAUACAAAGGGAUCAAGAGUAAUUAAUACCAUCUACAGAUCCGCCAAUGCCUCCUCCUAACGUUCCUCCAAAUCCCAGCAUGUCUACAAGAGAACUCUGAUGGCCUUCCAUUAUUCUGAGAGCAGAGGAUGAUGUGAGGGCCAAGUAUACGGCUACGAUGCGGUAUAUUAAUAUUAGCGUAAUAAGAUUUUAGUAGCUGUCAGAUUGGUUUCAAUCCGGACCAUUCAUUCUUGUAUAUAAGCUAAGGUUUUUAAGCUAAUUGUAUUCCCUUUCCACACUCACAGCACUAAAUUUAGAGAGAAAAAAUGUUGUAAUGUAUAUAAUUUAAGAUUAAUCUAAAUGAUGAUAAAUAUAUUAGGAUACACAGGAGAUGCCGGUGUGUUAAAUUAAAGGAUAUUCUAGGUACCCAUCUUGCAAACCAAAAUUUAGCUUUGGACGAUCAUCUUAUUGAAAGAAAUUCAGGCAAGCAUUCUUUUGAUUGCCUAAAGUUUGCUCUUUUCUAGAGAGAGUUUUGGUCUAAUGCUUCAGUGAGACCAUGUAAACCGUCUGAAUAAAUGAAUGAAUUAAUGAGUGGAAAAAAGAGCAGAGAAACAACUUGAACGUCAAGGUAAAAAAUAAACACUUCCUCUCUUUACUUGGGUAUCUUUUUUUUUCUUGCCUGCUCUCAAGCUCGUCCGGCUUGUCCCCAGCAGCUCCAGGGUACUCUUCUGAAGCCACCAGCUUGUAACACCAAGAAGACGUUGUGUGUUGCCUGCCAACAAUUCUCUCUCUCCUAGCUUCUUGGCUGUGUUAGAAUCCGCCUCUAAUCUUCUUCUAUGCUCUCUUAGCUCUUUGUUGUGGUUGUUGCCACCACCAUUUGCAAAAUCAUACAAAAGGAUUCUCAUUUAACAUAUAGCUUUCUAAGCUUUGUGGAGCUAGCCAGCACAAGUUACCAGAAAUCUUUCUUGGCCACACCAACUCACUGGAUACCUCCUUCAACAGUUCUCUCAUGCUAGGAUCUGUGUUUUCACAGUUGAUCAAAAGCAAGUCAAACAUUUCUUUCCUACAACACUACAAAGGGCUAAGCUUGGCAUCGAGCCUCACCACUUGAAAAUCAUAGUUCCAUUUUCCACAGUUCAAACUUUGAGCUAAACUUAUAACUGGAUAGGGUCAUAUUUAAAAGAUAUAACAAUAAAGUAUCUUAUUAUGGUGGUAGUGAUAUCACAUCAUCGCUAUUGCGAUAGCUCGUCCCCAGCCGCUUAACCCUUCUCUUGGUCUCUCCUGGUAUGCUCUCGUCUCACAAACUGCUGCAGAACAUGUUACUACGAUCGAUUGAUGAUCAAAUUGCAAUAUAUCCCACAUGCUUGUAAGUAUACCACCUCGCACACAAGACAUAUAUCCCAAGGUUGAUAGAAUUGUCAGCAGCCAGUAGAAGUACUCAAUGUGAGCCCUGUUGAGAUUGUCAUUGAUCCAGUUGCCGUCAACGCGGCCACCUUUUGUACUUGUAAACUUGACCACCAUCUCCACGAGCAAGCUGCUAAUGAAGCUCCCGAUGGAGAUGGUGCUGAGAUAGAGCGCCACUCCAAUGCUUCGCAUGGAAUCCGGGGCUUGAUCGUAGAAGAACUUGUUCUGGCCGACGGAGAUGAAAACCUCGCAAACUCCCGUGAGCGCGUACUGGGACAAGAGCCAGAAUGCGCUCAUCGGGACCGUCGACUGGGGGCGAUCCAAAACCGUGUUGCCUAGCCACUCGCAAGCGCUUCAUCUCCACCAGCGCGGCGAUGGCGAUGGAGACCGUGGAGAUGACCUGGCCGAUCCCAAUGCGCUGGAGCAUCGUGAUCCCUCGCUCGUUCCCCGUGAUCCGGCGCGCGAAUGGCACAAAGUAGCGGUCGUAGAGCGGCAUGAUGAUGCAAAUGGUGAGGGUGAUGAAGAGCGUGAAGGAGGCGGCUGGGAUCUGGAAUCGCCCCAGAUGCCGCUCCAUGGUGUCGCCCUGGUUGAGGAAUAAGGUGCCCACCUGGGCGAAGACGCUGCUAAAGAUGAGGUUCGUGAACCAGAUGGGCAUCACUCGCACUAGGAGCUUCACUUCCUCGACUUGCGUCACUGGGCACAGGCUCCACGGCUUCACUUCCUUGCUCUGCAGAUCCUUCUCGCUCACCACCGCCGCCUUGUUCAGGAAUCUGCUCGCGAUCAAUCGUAGUAAGCUAAGAUUGUUCUUCUGGACUUACGUGAAUUCUUUACUCCUGGGAUGUGUGGGAACUGCGCCUCCUUGUCGCUCAGCUCGUACAGCUUCUCAUUGUCGUCUGGAACGCUCACAUUCCACUUCCUGGUGGCCGCCACCAGGACCUGAGCGACGCGGGUGAAGGAACUUCCAGCGGGCUUUUGGGUGCGAUAGUUUGAUCUCCCGGAGAAGAAGAGGAGGGUGGCGAGGGCGACGACAGCGGUAGCGCCGCCUCAUCCCCACGUCCAUCCGUAAGUCACCUGGAUGUAGACGAGGGCAGUGACCGAGAACUUUGAUUGUUUUCGCAGGUAGAGAGCAAGAUGGAAGCCAAAGAGGAAAAGAAGCGAUUGAAAGCACAAGUAAAAGCCGAGGAGAAGCAGAAAAGGAAGGCACUGAAGAAGAAAAUGAAAGAGAACGGUGAAGCUGGCGAGCCAGAAGCAAAGAGAGCUGAGCGAAGCAGAAGAGCUGCCGAGGAGGAUGACGAUGGAAACAAAGGAGCUUCCGAUGAGGAUGACAGGUAUAGCAGGAGGAAAAGAUCUGCCGAGGACAGCGACGGGGAAGACAGGCAUAGAAACAAAAUAGGUGCUUCUUCGCGGGAUGAUCGAGAAGAUCGCAGCAAAAGAAUUCCCGAGAGAGACGAGCAAGACAGGUACAGAAGCAACCAAGUUCGCGAGGACGAUGAUAGGAGAAGUAGAAAGCGGGAGAGACACGAUAGCCCAGACGUGAAUGAUCGGCAUCGCAGGCACGAAGACAGGCACAGGGACAGGGAGGAAAACCGCGACUCCGGCAAGCCACCGCUGCCGAGGAAGAAAGUCCAGCUGAGCGAGGAGGAGAGAUGCAGCAGGACGCGGAGCUCCACGAGGAGCAGCGGUGGCAGCGGAUCAAACGCGCCUCGGCGAGCGACGCUGUCCAGGAGGAGAAGGACUCGAUCAAGUCGGGGAAGAACUUCCUGGACGAGACGAACAGGAGUGUUUAUGGCACCGAGAAUGGAGGCAGUGCCUCGGUCGCGGAUACUUUGCAUCGGCGAUCGCACUACCGCGAGAAGUUCACGCGUUUAGGCGAUCAUAGAGAUGAUCGCGUAGAGAUGGCAAAGAAACCUUUUGGGUGUAAACCAUCAUCGACUAAAGAACCAUUUGAAGUUCUUUUAGUAUGAGAGGUCAUGGAAUUUAUUGACAAUUGGAAGAAUCAUCGAUGAAUGGAGCCUUUUCAUUUCUAUCGCUAGUAUCUAGUGCCAGGGAUGAGAGUAUCGAAGAAGUGGAGCCUUGGGUCUUGAUGCUGUGGGAUACAACCACUGCCCAUCACUCCUCCCCCUUGGUUCUUGUGAUCCUGAGCUUGGAUCUUGCUGCUUGCCCCUUGGUUGUGCGCUCCUGACGAGGGAUCCUGGUGGAAUUGCUCUUGAUCUGGCGAAUUCGCGGAGGAGGAAGGCGAGUCGUGAUGGAAGUGAUGGACUCGAGCCUCGUAGAUCGCUGCAGUGGCCGUGGCAGCCGCCAUAGUUGCCAUAGAUUUGAAGUAAGCCAUAGAUCCUGUAAUCUAUAGCAUAGAAUUGACGCGAAUUGGAGGAGAGGAUCUGGAUGCUAGCGCUACUGGCUACCGGAUUGAUCGAUCGAUCGAUCGAAUUGGAGGGAGCGGAGAUGGGAGGGGAUGAGAUCGCAGAGCACAGGCUGUGCCACCAAACGAGGAAUGGUACUUUUAUUGCGUCAAUCGAAAGCGUGGAGCCAGGCGUGGUCAAGAACACACGCUAGUGGCAGCGAAUCUAUGCAAGCCACGUGUCUUUUUGUGCGUACGCGGCGAGAUUCCAGCCCCUUGACGCGCCAGUUUUUUCUAGAAAUUGAAAAGCGUCUUGAUUGGAUUUUUCCCAAUCAAACUUCGAGGAUUUGAUUGAGAGUGAUCAGCAUCAAUUGGAUUGGAUCAUCCAGGACCCUCUUGUGAAAUUCUGCUCUAUGCUGGUUUUAUCUCUGGAUUGAGAUAGUUAUCCUUACCUCAAAACCAAGUUUUCAGAAUUGGUUGUACAAGUGAUUGGUGUGCGGUUUGCUGUUUGGAUCAUUUCUGAGGGAUUUCGCUUUGUGUAGAACAGUGUGCCCCUGGAAAGUCUGAAAUUUCUUAGUUUUG